Molecule: long non-coding RNA, 1793 nt
Organism: Gallus gallus (chicken)
Lineage: Eukaryota; Metazoa; Chordata; Aves; Galliformes; Phasianidae
Source: Ensembl
CUCCCAAGGAGGAAGGAUCUCUAUCUGGAGAUCACUUCCCUCGGAGCUCUUCUGUGAGCUCAGGACACAGAUUUGAUGCCAGCAUCUGCCACUGUUUAUUUUCUGUGAAGACAGAGGUACUGGAACAGUUCAGACAUCCCCUUAUCGUGGUCAGAAAGCACAGGGAGAACACAGCCUCUAAAAUGAGUCCUCAAACACAAAACUGCCUAUUGCCACAAGUGGAGCAUCUAGCAAUGACAAAAGCUUCUAAAAAUAAAUGUUGAUAAGAUCACUUGCAAGAAAACGUACUGUUCUUGGCUUCCCUGUGAGAUAAAUGUUGGAACCUUUUAAUCUGAACUUUAGAAAUCAAUAGGUAUUUUUGAAGAAAAAGCACAGCCUUCACUAGUGCGACAACCAUGUUUCUGUAUUGGUAUUUUCUCCCUUCCCAUUUCUUGCCUAAAGCAGAAGGCUGUGAUGGUGUUUUUCUGUUAAACCCUGAGCAGAAUUAUGCUGAUUUUUUUGUGUAUUUAUAAUUCUUUUGCUCUGUACUGUGCUCUUAAACUUCUGUUCCAGAUUAAGCUGAGACUGUGGAAGCCACCCAGUUGGUAAUGACAUUCUUAUUUAACAAACAGUGAUAAUCGGAAUAAUUUCUUUACCUCUACCAAGCUUUCUUGGGAUACAAUGCUUUAACUUAAGCAGACCAGUCCACUGUAAUUAUAUUGUUGUAACUGAAGUAGAAAAACUGAAGUUAAGUACCUAAGCACUUAGAGCUAAUUGGAAAUUUGCUUCUGAUUCUAUUGGAAACAAUUUUACUUGACUUGAGUUUUCCAAUUGGAAGUUAUGGCAGCUGCAGUUAAUUGCAGCCCUUGGGUUGAUACACAGAGGGGCUCCAGGAUGUGGAGGCAGAAACUGGUAAGAAUUGCUGGGUUUCCAUAUGCAUCUGUACAGAAAAGUGGACUGUGCGUUUGGGUGCUAUUGAUAUACAAAUAGUAUUCAACGUUAAGAUUUAAAAAAAGAAAAAGCAUUCCCUGACUCCUAGUGCUAUUAACACUAGGUUUUGGGCAAAAGAUACACUUACUGAUGAGGAAAAAAAUAUAUCUUGUUGGGUGACUUGCCAGAGGAAGGUUUAUAAUCCUUUGUUAAAAGUAUUUGUACCAUGUCUUGUAUCAGGCUUGUUUAGAAUCGUUCAUUUCUGGGACAAGGUUGUCCCGUGUCAGAUUGAAAUGGCAUGCUGUGACUAGCUCUCUUGUUCUAAAAUGUGCUAGGAUCGUACGAAAGCAGUUCCUCAGUUUUCACUCUUUCUUAGCCUUCCUCUUGCUCUUGCAGGAUAUCUUUAUGGCUUGAUGUCUACCAAAAGUGCUUCUCAAAUGUACAGUAAUCAGUUUUUAUGCUUAACAGACAACUGCUUUGCUAGAACCAACCAACACCAGGCUUCUCCCUUCUCUUUCUUGGACAACUUGUAACCUUACGUGGAAAUUCAGCCUGAAAUUCAACUGAUUUGAAAGCUUUGUUAUUGAAUUAAAAUGACCAUGAAUGCCAAUUUCUGCGGCUACAAGCUAAUUUGGUUUUGUAGUGGAAAUAUUGACAUCUUAAUGUAUUUCCCAUAUCUCCUAACAAAAGGACAGCAGACAUCUGUCUGACUCAACAUAGAUCAGAGUAAAGUUGAUAUAUAAUUUAUUGUAAGUGUAUGCAUUGUUCGGGUAUGUUACUGACAGUGUGAUGCCUCAGGGUUAGUAUAGUUACUAAGACCAAGGGCAAAUCUUUCACCUGUGUAAGCAAUACCAUCGGGUUCUUGACUACUUUGUUAGAAAGAC